This 22485-nucleotide long non-coding RNA is filed under the name Triticum aestivum (bread wheat). RNAcentral's name for it is "long non-coding RNA (TAES_LNC009472)". Lineage: Eukaryota; Viridiplantae; Streptophyta; Magnoliopsida; Poales; Poaceae. The record is from RNAcentral.
GGGCGAAGCUCUUCCAAAGUGUGAUGGUCCCUCUGGUUCAGGUUCGGGAGGCUACUACAUGGUUCUGGUCAACUUGUUUGCGUCAGGUGGGAUGUGGGAGGAGAUGGCAGGUGCGUAUAAGGCCAUGAAGGGGAGCCAGGUGUGGAGGACACCCGGGGUUAGCCAGAUAAUGGCGGAUGCAAAGGACCCGCACACUCUUCUCAAGGAUAAGAUGCAUCCGCAGUGGGAAGCGAUAUACGAGAUGCUGGACGACACGCUUGUCCCCCAGAUGAUGAAGUGGGAUUGUAACAGUGUGAGCUGGUUGAUGCAGUUGCAAACUUGCAUCAGCUGACUGAUCUCUUUGAACUUUUAGGGUAAUCGAUCUCUUUGAUGUCAAGCUUAUUACGUCCCACACACAAUGCUUUGACACACAGUACAGAUAUAUGAGAUGCUGGACGACGCACUUGUCCCUCUGGUGAAGGUGAAUUUAACAAAAUACCAUAUUCUACUUUCCUUAUACUCCUUCAGAUCCUAAAUACAAGUCCUUUUAGAGAUUUCUAUAUGGACUACAUACGGAUGUAUAUAGACAUAUUUUAGAGUGUGGAUUCACUCAUUUUGCUCCAUAUGUAGUUCAUAUUGGAAUCUCUAAAAUGACUUAUAUUUAGGAACGGGGGGAGUAGAAAAGAGGAACGCCAACCUGUGUUCAUGAGUUUCUUUAGCUACUGAACUCCUGAACCUCAAGAAAUCUGGAACUGUCUUCCAGAAUUUGUUGAUGGCUAUCUCUAGUGGUACUGGAUCUUUGCUGUCUUGCAUAUUGAAUGAUGGGAUGCUUGGUGCUGGGAACACUUUUGGUGGAGGUGCUGGAGACCUCACUGUGGUUUGUUGGCAAUCAAUGAACUCAGACAAAGCAUGAGAAGAUCUCUCUCAUUGUCCACACAGACCCUAACUAUUUACCUUUUCCCGUCGGAGAAGUUUAGCGCUGCUUAUCAAGGAGAUAGAGCCACUGACAUAUAGGUCCAAGAGUGAAACCACCAGUGAAGGAGACUCGCAUGGGCAGCGAGAAUAGGUUUAAAAAUGCGUAACUAACUGGCCCUGUCCAAGCAAUGGAGUUAAAACAAGGCACUCAAACCUCUAUCAGUUACUGCUGUAUGUAAUAUCACUUGUACACCAACAACAAAGGCUACUACCACAAGUGUGGCAACAUUGCAAGCCAUCCCAGGGCCUGUGACUAAAGGUAAUAAAUCACCAUCUUUUUACUCCAUUGAUUGAAUUUUAUUUUUAAUCUUCCUAAGGAAUCCAUGUGUUUAUAUUUGCAGGCAACUAGCUUUGGCAAAUCAAGAAGGGCGACGUAUCCGGUGAAAACUAACAUUCAGCGCAAAUCUGAAAGCUAACACCGUGGCCCAUUAGAUCGAUAUACUGGAUGGCAGAGAUCAAUAGUGGAAUUACCAACAAGCCACUUACGCACUGUUUUACACAUACCCCCUUAUCUUGGCAUCGGCGCCCGCAGCAGCUGCCCCGACGUGGCGGCGACUUGGUGGCCACGGGACGGAGGUUCAGCGGCCGUGGUGCUGCUCUCAUGCGACGGUGGUUGGCGGUCGGGGUGCUGCCAAUCGCCAUGGCGACUUAGCGGCCGCAGCUAUGGUCUGAAUUUUGAAGCUCCAUCUGAAUGCUGUAAUUUUUUCUGCUGUUGAAGCUUCAGGCAGGCAAUCGAAGCUUUGAUUCUGUAGUCUCAUUUCAUUUCUCAUGCAGGCAGCCUGUAAUCUUUGGAUCUAUGAUCCUGAGAAACAUUUGAAAUGUUAUUAUCAAGCAAAUCACUGCGUGGAUUUUGUAUUCUCUUUAUCUUGACUCGAUGGUGUGAUUCAGUUGCAUAAAUCCGACGAGCUGAGCUAUUUUCCUCUACUAAAAGCGAAGUUUACGGGGCGUGUUUGCUUGCAUACAUUUGCUGAGCUGAUUUAUUUUACAUCCUUGAUUGGACAAAAUAGCACUACAUACAUCUGUAACUUCUAUAAGACGUUUUAGGUAGGGAUGGCACCCGCAGGGUUUGGGUAUGGGUGGAGUUACCCCAUACCCUUACCCAUCCCCUUGAGCUUACCCAUUACCCGUACCCAUACCCGUCAAUGGAUAUAAUUUUUUUCCAUACCCAUCACCCGGCAGGGUAAAUGGGUAUCCACGGGUAAAAAUACCCAUGUGUGCACACAUCAACCUAAGUAAGAAUACUUAUGCUUCGGUAGACCCCCCUAAAUACAUCAAGGGCUGAGAUUGUCCCAUACCUCUUCAUAAUAGAGGGCAAGAUGGUCUUUGUAAAAGUACGCCGUGAGUCCUCGUAUACGGAUUACACAGACAUGAACGGGCCAGCCCACUAAGCCAUUCCCCUCCUAACAAUAAAAGCGAGGUAAAUAUAGAAUAAAAAGGUGAACUCAUGAAACUCAAGACCUCACAGUUAAGCGCACGUGUUGCUAACCAAUUCACCCACCACUCCUUGUGGAAAUUUGUGGCGCCAAAUAAAUAAGAAAACACGACAGCAUUCAUACAUAUGAAAUAUUUUCUAAAAAAAGGUUCAAACUUUUAUUGAACAAAGCAGGAGCAAUUUUGAAAUGCCGUAUUUUUAUUUUUAUUUUUGUUUCUCCUGCUUUUUAAAAUUUUAAUUUAUUUUCUAUUUUUCAAAAUUCACAAACUAUUUUUAAAUCUUGAACAUUUUCUUAAAUCUGUGAACUUUUCAAAUUCGUGAAUAUUUUCUUAAAUUCGUGAACUUUUUUCCAAACUAUUUUGUCAAAUUUGUGAUUUUUUUUCAAUUUAGUAAUUUCCCGAACUCUUUUGUCAAAUUUGUGAACUUUUUUCAAUUUAGUAAUUUACCAAACUCUUUUGUCAAAUUUGUGAACUUUUUUCAAUUUAGUAAUUUACCGAACUCUUUGCUCGUGUCCGGAUCGCUCCCAAGCCCACUUCUGACCACCCUGGCCCACACAAACCCCUCGUCUCGCGCCCGUGUUCUUAGCCCGCGCCAGCUACCCGCAUUCAUGCCGAUGUAGAGCGUGUCGCUCCACAUUGAACACGACUCAGGACGGACGCGACCUCUCGUUGCCUCCGCCAUUGAAGCGGCGCGUCGGUCGAUGGCGCCGCCCGAGAGCGUCUCUGGUGUACCACGGUGGUUCUAUUGCCUGUUCGUCUGUAUGCCGUCAUUAAGCAGGCUCGCCAUCUGAGAGAUGACGGGACGGGCAGACAACCGCCAUGACCGCGAGCGGGAACAAUCUGCUGGAAUUUAGUCUAUUCUGGGCAGCCCAAUAACUAUUUCAGAAAUUCCUAAUAAAUCCUAGAGGCCCACUUAGCCCAUUUGUGCAAGGCAAGGGAUACUACUAAAGUUUAGUCCCACAUUGCUAGUUUAGUGGGAGUUGGACCUCCUUAUAAGGAUGAGGCUUUGAACUUUUUCAAGAUCUAUAAAGCUGAAGUGGAAAACCAACUUGAUCGAAAAAUCAAGAGGUUUAGGUCCGACCGUGGUGGAGAGUAUUUUUCCAAUGAAUUUGAUGCUUUUUGUGCGGAACAUGGUAUAAUCCAUGAGAGGACGCCUCCCUACUCACCUCAGUCAAAUGGGGUGGCCGAAAGAAAGAAUUGUACUCUAACUGAUUUGGUUAACUCCAUGUUAGACACAUCGGGUCUCUCCAAGGCAUGGUGGGGGGAGGCGAUAUUGACGGCAUGUCAUGUCCUAAACCGAGUCCCCACAAAGAACAAAGAGAUAACUCCAUUCGAGGAAUGGGAGAAGAAAAGGUUAAAACUCUCUUAUCUGCGAACAUGGGGUUGUUUGGCGAAAGUCAAUGUUCCAAUUCCAAAGAAGCGGAAGCUUGGACCAAAGACUGUGGAUUGUGUUUUCCUGGGAUAUGCUUUUCAUAGCAUUGGCUAUAGAUUCUUGGUUGUAAAAUCUGAGGUACCUGACAUGCAUGUCGGUACGAUCAUGGAGUCGAAUGAUGCGACUUUCUUUGAAUAUAUCUUUCCCAUAAAGGAUAUGUCUACCUCGUCUAAUCAGGAGAUGCCUAGUUCAUCGAAUUAGGAACUAGUUACAAUUACCGAACCUGCCAUUUCGAUGGAACACUUUGAAAAUUCUGUGGAGGAGAACAAUGAAGUUCCUACUAGGAGCAAGAGACAGAGGAUUGCAAAGUCCUUUGGUGAUGAUUUUCUUGUGUAUCUCAUAGAUGAUACUCCCAGUUCUAUUUCAGAGGCCUAUGCAUCUGAAGAUGCUGACUACUGGAAGGAAGCGGUUCGUAGCGAGAUAGAUUCCAUCUUGGCGAAUGAAACUUGGGAGAUAACUGAUCAUCCUUAUGGGUGCAAACCUAUAGGAUGCAAAUGGGUAUUCAAGAAGAAGCUUAGGCCUGAUGGCACUAUUGAAAAGUACAAGGCUCGGCUCGUGGCUAAGGGUUAUACCCAAAAGGAAGGUGAAGACUUCUUUGAUACUUACUCACCUGUGGCUCGACUGACCAUUAUUCGAGUUCUACUUUCACUAGCUGCCUCACAUGGUCUUCUUGUUCAUCAAAUGGAUGUUAAGACUGCUUUCCUAAAUGGAGAGUUGGACGAGGAAAUUUAUAUGGAACAACCAGAUGGGUUUGUACUAGAUGGUCAGAAAGGAAAAGUGUGCAAGUUGCUGAAGUCUUUGUAUGGACUCAAGCAAGCACCCAAACAGUGGCAUGAGAAGUUUGAAAGAACUUUAACCGCAGCAGGCUUCGUUGUAAACGAAGCUGAUAAAUGUGUGUACUAUCGCCAUGGUGGGGGCGAAGGAGUUAUUCUUUGCUUGUAUGUUGAUGACAUACUGCUUUUCGGAACAAAUCUGAAUGUUAUUAAGGAGGUCAAGGAUUUCCUAUCUCGUUGUUUUGAGAUGAAGGAUUUAGGAGUGGCUGAUGUCAUUUUGAACAUCAAGUUGUUGAGAGACGAUGAUGGUGGGAUUACAUUCCUUCAAUCUCACUAUGUGGAAAAUAUCUUGAGUCGCUUUGGCUAUAGUGACUGCAAGCCCUCUCCAACACCAUAUGAUGCGAGUGUGUUACUCCGAAAGAAUUGAAGAAUUGCUAGAGAUCAAUUGAAAUAUUCUCAGAUUAUUGGCUCGCUUAUGUACUUAGCCAGUGCUACAAGACCUGACAUCUCUUUUGCUGUUAGCAAACUGAGUCGGUUUGUCUCAAAACCAGGAGAUGUGCAUUGGAAAGCUCUAGAGAGAGUUUUGCGUUAUUUGAAAGGCACUGCGAAUUAUGAAAUUCACUACACUGGGCACCCAAAGGUGCUUGAAGGGUAUAGUGACUCAAACUGGAUCUCAGAUGCUGAUGAGAUAAAGGCCACGAGCGGUUAUGUAUUCACUCAUGGAGGUGGCGCUGUUUCUUGGAAGUCUUGCAAGCAGACCAUCUUAACGAGGUCAACAAUGGAAGCAGAACUCACGGCACUAGAUACAGCUACGGUCGAAGCAGAUUGGCUUUGCCGGCUCUUGAAUGACUUGCCGGUUGUUGAGAAACCUGUACCGGGUAUCCUUAUGAACUGCGACAAUCAAACUGUGAUCACGAAAGUGAGCAGCUCAAAGGAUAACAUGAAGUCAUCAAGACACGUUCAGAGAAGGUUAAAGUCUGUCAGGAAAAUGAGAAACUCCGGAGUUAUUGCAUUGGAUUAUAUCCAAACGUCUAAAAAUUUGGCAGAUCCUUUUACUAAGGGUCUAUCACGUAAUGUGAUAGAUAAUGCAUCAAGGGAGAUGGGUAUGAGACCCACAAUAUGAGUUGUUCACAGUGGUAACCUAUUCUUUGUGAUCGGAGAUCCCGUGAAUUAGAUGUGGAAGACAAGCUGUUGAUCAACUGAGAGGAGAGUAUCCUUACUAUUAACAAUACCACUCCAUGAAGAUGCAAUACUCUCCUAAAACUGUAUGGCAGGUUGAUGUAUAUCUUAAUGUGUUCUAAGUGGCUCAUUUAAGUAGAGAUGUUGUCCUGCAGAACAUCUUUUGAAGAACACACCUAUAUGAGUCUGCUUGUUAAACGUCGCAAUCUAUGAGAGUAGGGUUCUCUCUAGUAAACUCAUGAAAGGUCUCGGAGUAUGACGCAUAAGCUCCACCCGCGGGGAAGACCCACGGUAGCCACGUAUCGGUCAAGGCUUUAUGUGAAGCUAGAUUCGCAGAAAACUUGCAGUUCAAGGCCCAGUCCACUGUUCAAGUUGCUUACUAGUGUAGCAUAGAGUUCUAGGUGGAAGUUCAACUUAAUAGUCUCCACUGCAGUACCGGUAUAUAAAACAGUGUUUUGGAACCAAAGGCAAAUUUCUGUGUGCCUCUGGGAUCUGGUGGGGGAUUGCUGGAAUUUAGUCUAUUUUGGGUAGCCCAAUAACUAUUUCAGAAAUUCCUAAUAAAUCCUAGAGGCCCACUUAGCCCAUUUGUGCAAGGCAAGGGAUACUACUAAAGUUUAGUCCCACAUUGCUAGUUUAGUGGGAGUUGGACCUCCUUAUAAGGGAGGUUCUUUCCCCACUUGUAUGAGCAUGAGAACAAGAGGGACAUCCACGCGCGCUCCUCCUCCGCCGCCCGCCUCGCCGCGGGUUGCGGGAAUGAGCCGAUGUCUAAAUUUUUGCCACGCACUACGGGUAUACGAAAGGCCACUCGGGAGCUGGAAAGUUUUUGCUGUAGUGGAUAUUGAAUACGAACGCUGCACCCUUUGGCUGCUGCCCGUUCGUUUCAUCUCCCGCGUUCCCUUCAGCUUCCGGCGCAACCUCUCGCCUCCUUCUCUUGCGCCUAUAAAAGGGAGGUCGCUCCUCUCAGAGAGACGCAUCAGAACUCAUUCUUCCUCUCGCCACCGGUUCCUGAACACUGCGUUGCUGCUACGAUCUUCCUCAUCCCGGCUUGCGGCGUGCACCGCAGGUCGGGACAGUAGGCCUCCGAAACCGCACCUCUUUGAGUCCUGUACGGGAGAAGGGUGAUAAGGUUUUUGGGGAGCGCUCUGCGCGACUACUGACUUCUUCGUCACGGACACCCCGGACUCCGACGACUACUUCCCCGACGACGACUACUUCCCCGACAUCGACAACCUCCUCCACGACAUGGCUACCGAGGACACCGACCCCAAGUCCAGUGCUACUGUUGCAGCUGCUGUCCCGUACGUGUUCUUGUUUUUCCGGUUAGAGGUUCUGCCACAGUUCCUUGUUCUAGUCCUUGCCCUACACAUGAUAAGUUCUACUUCAUAUAUGCUACUUGGUCUACUGUCUACUCUAGAGAUGUUCGGUUCUAGUUUAUAUUUGCAGAUGUUAUCUACCUUCUCUUUGUCAGAUCGCAUGACUUGCUUUAUCUCUGCUACUUUAGUCAUGCUUUAUCUAGUAUUUCCGUUAAUAAAAUCAUAUGGUAAAUUGCUCAUAUUUCCAACACAAUCUAUGGACAGUCUGUCACUGGAGAUGAAGCAUGCGGUGGCCGCCCUUGCCGUUGCGUGGCAGAGCCGCCAUGCCAGGCGAAAUGAGGCUGGCUUGCCGGCCAGUUCGCCCAAGGUCUCCGACAAGAGGACAACUCCACGAUGGAGACAGGCUCCGACGACAUCGUCCCGGCUCCCGCGCCUCAUUGCACGUCGGCUUCACCAUGGAGCAGGCGCAAGCGCAGUACAACGCCGCCAUGGCGGAGGUGCAGCCUGGGCCAGCGCCUUUGUCAGUGUUCCAACAGGCAUGGUGUUGGAAAUAUGCCCUAGAGGCAAUAAUAAAUGGUUAUUAUUAUAUUUCUUUGUUCAUGGUAAUUGUCUAUUGUUCAUGCUAUAAUUGUGUUAUCCGGAAAUCGUAAUACAUGUGUGAAUACAUAGACCACAACGUGUCCCUAGUAAGCCUCUAGUUGACUAGCUCGUUGAUCAAUAGAUAGUCAUGGUUUCCUGACUAUGGACAUUGGAUGUCGUUGAUAACGGGAUCACAUCAUUAGGAGAAUGAUGUGAUGGACAAGACCCAAUCCUAAGCAUAGCAUAAAAGAUCGUGUAGUUUCGUUUGCUAGAGCUUUUCCAAUGUAAAGUAUCUUUUCCUUAGACCAUGAGAUCGUGCAACUCCCGGAUACCAUAGGAGUGCUUUGGGUGUGCCAAACGUCACAACGUAACUGGGUGACUAUAAAGGUGCACUACGGGUAUCUCCGAAAGUGUCUGUUGGGUUGGCACGGAUCGAGACUGGGAUUUGUCACUCCGUGUGACGGAGAGGUAUCUCUGGGCCCACUCGGUAAUGCAUCAUCAUAAUGAGCUCAAUGUGACUAAGGCGUUAGUCACGGGAUCAUGCAUUGGGGUACGAGUAAAGAGACUUGCCGGUAACGAGAUUGAACAAGGUAUUGGGAUACCGACGAUCGAAUCUCGGGCAAGUAACAUACCGAUUGACAAAGGGAAUUGUAUGCGGGAUUGAUUGAAUCCUCGACAUCGUGGUUCAUCCGAUGAGAUCAUCAUGGAACAUGUGGGAGCCAACAUGGGUAUCCAGAUCCCGCUGUUGGUUAUUGACCGGAGAGGCGUCUCGGUCAUGUCCGCAUGUCUCCCGAACCCGUAGGGUCUACACACUUAAGGUUCGGUGACGCUAGGGUUGUAGAGAUAUGAGUAUGCGGAAACCCGAAAGCUGUUCGGAGUCCCGGAUGAGAUCCCGGACGUCACGAGGAGUUCCGGAAUGGUCCGAAGGUGAAGAAUUAUAUAUAGGAAGUCAAGUUUCGGCCACCGGGAAAGUUUCGGGGGUUAUCAGUAUUGUACCGGGACCACCGGAAGGGUCCCGGGGGUCCACCGUGUGGGGCCACCUAUCCCGAAGGGCCCCAUGGGCUGAAGUGGGAUGGCAACCAGCCCUUAGUGGGCUGGGUCGCCCCCCAUGGGCCUCCCCCCUGCGCCUAGGGUUGGAAACCCUAGGGUGGGGGGGGGCGCCCCACUUGCCUUGGGGGGCAAGUCUUCCCCCCUGGCCGCCGCCCCCCCAUCCAGAUGGGAUCCUGGCUGGCGCCCCCCUCCCAGGGGGCCUAUAUAAAGGGGGGAGGGAGGGCAGCAUUAUUACAGCCUUGGGCGCCUCCCUCCUCCCCUGCUACACCUCUCCCUCUCGCAGAAGCUCGGCGAAGCCCUGCCGAGACCCGCUACAUCCACCACCACGCCGUCGUGCUGCUGGAUCUCCAUCAACCUCUCCUUCCCCUUGCUGGAUCAAGAAGGAGGAGACGUCGCUGCACCGUACGUGUGUUGAACGCGGAGGUGCCGUCCGUUCGGCACUCGGUCAUCGGUGAUUUGAAUCACGGCGAGUACGACUCCGUCAUCCACAUUCAUUGGAACGCUUCCGCUCGCGAUCUACAAGGGUAUGUAGAUGCACUCCUUUCCCCUCGUUGCUAGUAUAUUCCAUAGAUGGAUCUUGGUGAGCGUAGGAAAAUUUUAAAAUUAUGCUACGAUAACCAACAGUGGCAUCAUGAGCCAGGCCUAUGCGUAGUUACUAUGCACGAGUAGAACACAAAGUAGUUUUGGGCGUUGAUGUUGCCAAUUCUUCUUGCCGCUACUAGUCGUAUCUCGUUUCGGCGGUAUUGUAGGAUGAAGCGGCCCGGACCGACCUUACACGUACGCUUACGUGAGACAGGUUCCACCGACUGACAUGCACUAGUUGCAUAAGGUGGCUAGCGGGUGUCUGUCUCUCCUACUUUAGUCGGAACGGAUUCGAUGAAAAGGGUCCUUAUGAAGGGUAAAUAGAAAUUGGCAAAUCGCAUUGUGGUUUUACGUAGGUAAGAAACGUUCUUGCUAGAAACCUAUACAAGCCACGUAAAAACUUGCAACAACAAUUAGAGGACGUCUAACUUGUUUUUUGCAGCAAGUGCUAUGUGAUGUGAUAUGGCCAGAAGAUGUGAUGAAUGAUAUAUGUGAUGUAUGAGAUUGAUCAUAUUCUUGUAAUAGGAAUCACGACUUGCAUGUCGAUGAGUAUGACAACCGGCAGGAGCCAUAGGAGUUGUCUUUAUUAUUUUGUAUGACCUGCGUGUCAUUGAAUAACGCCAUGUAAAUUACUUUACUUUGUUGCUAAACGCGUUAGCCAUAGAAGUAGAAGUAAUCGUUGGCGUGACGACUUCAUGAAGACACAAUGAUGGAGAUCAUGAUGAUGGAGAUCAUGGUGUCAUGCCGGUGACGAAGAUGAUCAUGGUGCCCCGAAGAUGGAGAUCAAAGGAGCAAAAUGAUAUUGGCCAUAUCAUGUCACUAUUUGAUUGCAUGUGAUGUUUAUCAUGUUUUGCAUCUUAUUUGCUUAGAACGACGGUAGUAAGUAAGAUGAUCCCUUAUAAUAAUUUCAAGAAAGUGUUCACCCUAACUGUGCACCGUUGCGAAGGUUCGUUGUUUCGAAGCACCACGUGAUGAUCGGGUGUGAUAGAUUAUAACGUUCGCAUACAACGGGUGUUGACGAGCCUAGCAUGUACAGACAUGGCCUCGAAACACACGCAAUACACUUAGGUUGACUUGACGAGCCUAGCAUGUACAGACAUGGCAUCGGAACACGGAGGACCGAAAGGUCGAGCAUGAGUCGUAUAGAAGAUACGAUCAACAUGGAGAUGUUCACCGAUCUUGACUAGUCCGUCUCACGUGAUGAUCGGACACGGCCUAGUUAACUCGGAUCAUGUUGCACUUAGAUGACUAGAGGGAUGUCUAUCUGAGUGGGAGUUCAUUGAGUAAUUUGAUUAGAUGAACUUAAUUAUCAUGAACUUAGUCUAAAAUCUUUACACUAUGUCUUGUAGAUCAAAUGGCCCACGUUGUCCUCAAUUUCAACGCGUUCCUAGAGAAAACCAAGCUGAAAGAUGAUGGCAGCAACUAUACGGACUGGGUCCGAAACCUGAGGAUCAUCCUCAUAGCAGCCAAGAAAGAUUAUGUCUUAGAAGCACCGCUAGGUGAAGCACCAAUCCCAGAGAACCAAGACGUUAUGAACGCUUGGCAAUCACGUGCUGAUGAUUACUCCCCCGUUCAGUGCGGCAUGCUUUACAGCUUAGAACCGGGUCUCCCAAAGCGUUUUGAGAAACAUGGAGCAUAUGAGAUGUUCGAGGAGCUGAAAAUGGUUUUCCAAGCUCAUGCCCGGGUCGAGAGAUAUGAAGUCUCCGACAAGUUCUUCAGCUGUAAAAUGGAGGAGAAUAGUUCUGUUAGUGAGCACACACUCAGAAUGUCUGGGUUGCACAACCGCUUGUCUCAGCUGGGAGUUAAUCUCCCGGAUGACGCGGUCAUUGACAGAAUCCUUCAGUCGCUUCCACCAAGCUACAAGAACUUUGUGAUGAACUUCAAUAUGCAGGGGAUGGAAAAGACCAUUCCCGAGGUAUAUUCAAUGUUGAAAUCAGCGGAGGUGGAGAUCAGAAAAGAACAUCAAGUGUUGAUGGUGAAUAAAACCACUAAGUUCAAGAAGGGCAAGGGUAAGAAGAACUUCAAGAAGGACGGCAAGGGAGUUGCCGCGCCCGGUAAGCCAGUUGCCGGGAAGAAGCCAAGGAAUGGACCCAAGCCUGAGACUGAGUGCUUUUAUUGCAAGGGAAGUGGUCACUGGAAGCGGAACUGCCCCAAAUACUUAGCGGACAAGAAGGCCGGCAACACCAAAGGUAUAUGUGAUAUACAUGUAAUCGAUGUGUACCUUACCAGUACUCGUAGUAGCUCCUGGGUAUUUGAUACCGGUGUGGUUGCUCAUAUUUAUAACUCAAAACAGGAACUACGGAAUAAACGGAGACUGGCGAAGGACGAGGUGACGAUGCGCGUCGGGAAUGGUUCCAAGGCCGAUGUGAUCGCCAUCGGCACGCUACCUCUGCAUCUACCUACGGGAUUAGUUUUAAACCUCAAUAAUUGUUAUUUAGUGCCAGCUUUGAGCAUGAACAUUGUAUCUGGAUCUCGUUUAAUUCGAGAUGGCUACUCAUUUAAAUCCGAGAAUAAUGGUUGUUCUAUUUAUAUGAGAGAUAUGUUUUAUGGUCAUGCCCCGCUGGUUAAUGGUUUAUUCUUGAUGAAUCUCGAACGUGAUGUUACACAUAUUCAUAGUGUGAAUACCAAAAGAUGUAAAGUUGAUAACGAUAGUCCCACAUACUUGUGGCACUGCCGCCUUGGUCACAUUGGUGUCAAGCGCAUGAAGAAGCUCCAUGCAGAUGGACUUUUGGAGUCUCUUGAUUACGAAUCAUUUGACACGUGCGAACCAUGCCUCAUGGGUUAGAUGACCAAGACUCCGUUCUCCGGAACAAUGGAGCGAGCAACCAACUUAUUGGAAAUCAUACAUAUCGAUGUGUGCGGUCCAAUGAGUGUUGAGGCUCGCGGAGGAUAUCGUUAUGUUCUCACUCUCACUGAUGACUUAAGUAGAUAUGGGUAUGUCUACCUAAUGAAACACAAGUCUGAAACCUUUGAAAAGUUCAAGGAAUUUCAGAGUGAGGUUGAGAAUCAACGUGACAGGAAAAUAAAAUUCUUACGAUCAGAUCGUGGUGGAGAAUAUUUAAGUCACGAGUUUGGUAUACACUUAAGGAAAUGUGGAAUAGUUUCACAACUCACGCCGCCUGGAACACCUCAGAGAAACGGUGUGUCCGAACGUCGUAAUCGCACUCUAUUGGAUAUGGUGCGAUCUAUGAUGUCUCUUACCGAUUUACCGCUCUCAUUUUGAGGCUAUGCUUUAGAGACUGCCGCAUUCACUUUAAAUAGGGCUCCGUCGAAAUCCGUUGAGACGACACCGUAUGAAUUAUGGUUUGGGAAGAAACCUAAGCUGUCGUUUCUAAAAGUUUGGGGAUGCGAUGCUUAUGUAAAGAAACUUCAACCUGAAAAGCUCGAACCCAAGUCGGAGAAAUGCGUCUUCAUAGGAUACCCUAAGGAAACCAUUGGGUAUACCUUCUACCUCAGAUCCGAAGGCAAGAUCUUCGUUGCCAAGAACGGGUCCUUUCUGGAGAAGGAGUUUCUCUCGAAAGAAUUGAGUGGGAGGAAAGUGGAACUUGAUGAGGUGAUAGUCACCCCUUCCGAACCGGAAAGUAGCGCAGCGCGGGAAAAUGUUCCUGUGGUGCCUACACCGACUGGGGAGGAAGUUAAUGAUGAUGAUCAUGAAGCUUCGGAUCAAGUUACUACUGAACUUCGUAGGUCCACAAGGACACGUUCCGCACCAGAGUGGUACGGCAACCCUGUCCUGGAAAUCAUGUUGUUAGACAACGGUGAACCUUCGAACUAUGAAGAAGCGAUGGCGGGCCCGGAUUCCGACAAAUGGCUAGAAGCCAUGAAAUCCGAGAUAGGAUCCAUGUAUGAAAACGAAGUAUGGACUUUGACUGACUUGCCCGAUGAUCGGCGAGCCAUAGAAAACAAAUGGAUCUUUAAGAAGAAGACAAACGCGGAUGGUAAUGUGACCAUCUAUAAGGCUCGACUUGUCGCUAAGGGUUAUCGACAAGUUCAAGGGGUUGACUAUGAUGAGACUUUCUCACCCGUAGCGAAGCUGAAGUCCGUCCGAAUCAUGUUAGCAAUUGCCGCAUACUAUGAUUAUGAGAUAUGGCAGAUGGACGUCAAAACGGCAUUCCUUAAUGGCUUCCUUAAGGAAGAGUUGUAUAUGAUGCAGCCGGAAGGUUUUGUCGAUCCUAAGAAUGCUAACAAAGUAUGCAAGCUCCAGCGCUCAAUCUAUGGGCUGGUGCAAGCAUCUCGGAGUUGGAACAUUCGCUUUGAUGAGAUGAUCAAAGCGUUUGGGUUUACACAGACUUAUGGAGAAGCCUGUGUUUACAAGAAAGUGAGUGGGAGCUCUGUAGCAUUUCACUUAUUAUAUGUGGAUGACAUAUUAUUGAUGGGAAAUGAUAUAGAAUUCUUGGAAAGUAUAAAGGCCUAUUUGAAUAAGUGUUUUUCAAUGAAGGACCUUGGAGAAGCUGCUUAUAUAUUAGGCAUCAAGAUCUAUAGAGAUAGAUCAAGACGCCUCAUUGGUCUUUCACAGAGUACAUACCUUGACAAGAUAUUGAAGAAGUUCAAUAUGGAUCAGUCCAAGAAGGGGUUCUUGCCUGUAUUGCAAGGUGUGCAAUUGAGCAUGGCUCAAUGCCCGACCACGGCAGAAGAUAUAGAAAAGAUGAGUGUCAUCCCUAUGCCUCGGCCAUAGGGUCUAUUAUGUAUGCCAUGCUGUGUACCAGACCUGAUGUAAACCUUGCCGUAAGUUUGGUAGGAAGGUACCAAAGUAAUCCCGGCAUGGAACACUGGACAGCGGUCAAGAAUAUCCUGAAGUACCUGAAGAGGACUAAGGAUAUGUUUCUCGUUUAUGGAGGUGACGAAGAGCUCGUCGUAAAGGGUUACGUCGACGCUAGCUUCCACACAGAUCUGGAUGACUCGAAGUCACAAACCGGAUACGUGUAUAUUUUGAAUGGAGGAGCGGUAAGCUGGUGCAGUUGCAAGCAAAGCGUCGUGGCGGGAUCUACAUGUGAAGCGGAGUACAUGGCAGCCUCGGAGGCAGCACAGGAAGCAGUCUGGAUGAAGGAGUUCAUUACCGACCUAGGGGUGAUUCCCAAUGCGUCGGGCCCGAUGACUCUCUUCUGUGACAACACUGGAGCUAUUGCCCUUGCGAAGGAGCCCAGGUUUCACAGGAAGACCAGGCAUAUCAAGCGUCGCUUCAACUCCAUUCGUGAAAGUGUUCAAAAUGGAGACAUAGAUAUUUGUAAAGUACAUACGGACCUGAAUGUAGCAGAUCCGUUGACUAAACCUCUCCCUAGGGCAAAACAUGAUCAACACCAGGACGCAAUGGGUGUUCGAUUCAUCACAAUGUAACUAGAUUAUUGACUCUAGUGCAAGUGGGAGACUGUUGGAAAUAUGCCCUAGAGGCAAUAAUAAAUGGUUAUUAUUAUAUUUCUUUGUUCAUGGUAAUUGUCUAGUGUUCAUGCUAUAAUUGUGUUAUCCGGAAAUCGUAAUACAUGUGUGAAUACAUAGACCACAACGUGUCCCAAGUAAGCCUCUAGUUGACUAGCUCGUUGACCAAUAGAUAGUCAUGGUUUCCUGACUAUGGACAUUGGAUGUCGUUGAUAACGGGAUCACAUCAUUAGGAGAAUGAUGUGAUGGACAAGACCCAAUCCUAAGCAUAGCAUAAAAGAUCGUGUAGUUUCGUUUGCUAGAGCUUUUCCAAUGUCAAGUAUCUUUUCCUUAGACCAUGAGAUCGUGCAACUCCCGGAUACCGUAGGAGUGCUUUGGGUGUGCCAAACGUCACAACGUAACUGGGUGACUAUAAAGGUGCACUACGGAUAUCUCCGAAAGUGUCUGUUGGGUUGGCACGGAUCGAGACUGGGAUUUGUCACUCCGUGUGACGGAGAGGUAUCUCUGGGCCCACUCGGUAAUGCAUCAUCAUAAUGAGCUCAAUGUGACUAAGGCGUUAGUCACGGGAUCAUGCAUUGCGGUACGAGUAAAGAGACUUGCCGGUAACGAGAUUGAACAAGGUAUUGGGAUACCGACGAUCGAAUCUCGGGCAAGUAACAUACCGAUUGACAAAGGGAAUUGUAUGCGGGAUUGAUUGAAUCCUCGACAUCGUGGUUCAUCCGAUGAGAUCAUCGUGGAACAUGUGGGAGCCAACAUGGGUAUCCAGAUCCCGCUGUUGGUUAUUGACCGGAGAGGCGUCUCGGUCAUGUCUGCAUGUCUCCCGAACCCGUAGGGUCUACACACUUAAGGUUCGGUGACGCUAGGGUUGUAGAGAUAUGAGUAUGCGGAAACCCGAAAGUUGUUCGGAGUCCCGGAUGAGAUCCCGGACGUCACGAGGAGUUCCGGAAUGGUCCGGAGGUGAAGAAUUAUAUAUAGGAAGUCAAGUUUCGGCCACCGGGAAAGUUUCAGGGGUUAUCGGUAUUGUACCGGGACCACCGGAAGGGUCCCGGGGGUCCACCGGGUGGGGCCACCUAUCCCGGAGGGCCCUAUGGGCUGAAGUGGGAUGGCAACCAGCCCUUAGUGGGCUGGGGCGCCCCCCAUGGGGCUCCCCCCUGCGCCUAGGGUUGGAAACCCUAGGGUGGGGGGCGCCCCACUUGCCUUGGGGGGCAAGUCUUCCCCCCUGGCCGCCGCCCCCCAUCCAGAUGGGAUCCUGGCCGGCGCCCCCCUCCCAGGGGGCCUAUAUAAAGGGGGGGAGGGAGGGCAGCAUUAUUACAGCCUUGGGCGCCUCCCUCCUCCCCUGCUACACCUCUCCCUCUCGCAGAAGCUCGACGAAGCCCUGCCGAGACCCGCUACAUCCACCACCACGCCAUCGUGCUGCUGGAUCUCCAUCAACCUCUCCUUCCCCUUGCUGGAUCAAGAAGGAGGAGACGUCGCUGCACCGUACGUGUGUUGAACGCGGAGGUGCCGUCCGUUCGGCACUCGGUCAUCGGUGAUUUGAAUCACGGCGAGUACGACUCCGUCAUCCACGUUCAUUGGAACGCUUCCGCUCGCGAUCUACAAGGGUAUGUAGAUGCACUCCUUUCCCCUCGUUGCUAGUAUACUCCAUAGAUGGAUCUUGGUGAGCGUAGGAAAAUUUUAAAAUUAUGCUACGAGUACCAACACGUGGGAGGGACAUCGAUACAACCUGUUCCUCCUAGAGCAGCACCGGCUGGCGCAGGGCUAGUUCUACGACGAGUGCGGGGGCGAGAAGGCCGUGUCGGCCAUAGCCGUGAUGAACCCUAAUUUCGUCGCAGAGCAGUGUGCCAUCUAUGAUGUCGUCCGCGCUCAAGCCACUGCUCGCCAGAAAAUAAGGAUGGCAGGAUACGGGCAUAAUUUUGUGCCCACGGGUAGUACCCAUACCCUACCCGUUAAGUCAUGGGUAGGGCACGGGUAUAGCAUUUCACCCAUGGAUAUACCCAUACCCUACCCGUUUAUACUAAACAUGUGAACCUUACCCAUGAUAAACAAGUGUACCUAUUUUAAAGUUGUGUUGUGAGAUUGUGAACCUAUGUUAAAGUUGUCACCAAUUAUCAUUUUGAAUUGAGAUAAUUGUCAUGUAGCCAUCUAUCUACUAUUGAGUUGAGAUCAAUGUUUUUUUCCUCAAAUGUGUUAUAGAUGAAUAUAAAAUUGUGAAUAACUUGUAUACUGUUUGAUCUACCCAUUGGGUACCCAAUGCAAAUGGGUACCCAUCGGGUAUGGGUACGGGUAAAGUUUCGUACCCAUGGGUACGGGUAUGGGUAAAUUUUUGUACCUAUUGACUAUACAGGUAUGGAUAUGGUAUUGCUCUACCCGCCCCAUACCCUACUCAUUGUCAUCCUUACCAGGAAACGACCGCCGCUGAGGCGCAGCUCUGGGCGAUCGCAAAGGAGAACAAGGUCAGUUGCGUCUCCUACGUGUCGCCAAUGAACCAUCCGGCGGCCCGGCGGGACAACAACAGCCCGGUUAACUGAACAGUCCAAGUCAGCGUAUAUAAUUGCCCAACAGGAGGCGCGGGUAUCGCACGCAGCCAACUUCUCCCGGGUAUAGUCCCACCUCGUCUGUGAGAGGAGAUGACGCAAAGAUUUCCAACUAUAUAAAAGGUGUUGCUGCUGCAUUUGAAUCACAACUACUGAAAACUAUACCAUAAUGAAUUUUCAGUUAUCUAUUUUAAAUUACAAUUUUUGGUUUUUGUUUGUCUAACUGAAUUAAAAAAUUAACCAGAUGGUAAAAACCAAAAUUUUGGUUUAUACCGAACACCCACUCCUAGUUGCCGGUUUUAAAUUUUUAAAAAAAUCAUAGUUUAAAGAAAAGUCCACAAGUUUAAAUAAGUUUAUCGAUAUGAUAGAAGUACACGAAUGGAACAAAAAGUCCAUGAAAUUGAAAAAAAGUUUAUCGAUUUGAGAAAAGUACAUAAAUGUGCCAAAAAGUUCAGGAAAUUGAAAAAAAAAUAAGCACUUCUGUAGGAUUUUUUUUCAAAUCGAUGAACGUUUUCAGUUUUCUAUUUUUUUCCAAAUUCGUAAACUUUUUUUCAAAUCGAUGAACUUUUUCAGUUUCACGGACUUUUUUGUCCUUGGAGCUAGGGGUGGGCAUAACAACCGACAAACCAAAUACCGAACAUAAAGAACUAUUUUUUUUUUGUUUUUUGUGUUGGUGUUGGAAAAUUUCUGCCACAUGUUCGUGUUAUAAUAUUUAUUACUGUACAUAAAAAUUAUUUGCAUUUUCAAAAAAUUGUUCACUAUUUCAUAAAUUGUUCUUGUUUUCAAAUUUGUUCCUUUUUCAUAAAUGUUUGAGAUUCCCAAAAAAAUGUUCGCAUUUCACAAAUGUUUGACAUUACAAUAUUUUGUUCAGAAACUUGAAAUGCUCGCGUUAAAAAAAUAUUUAUUUAUUUUCAGAAAGAAAAUCAUGUUUGGAAUUUAAACAAGUUUAAUCUGUUUGCGGCUGAUGGUUCAUAUACACUGGGCUGCCUUUUUAGACACCAAACCUCUGCAAUUAUAGUGGCUAGCGAUGCAUUUUACUAGCAAGAGGUCCUUUUUUAGAGAGAAAAAAACUUGCAAGAGGUCCUUUGUUCAAUUCCCCGCACAGACUUGGGUUUUGGGAAUUUCUGCUAACUGCCUUUUAAGUUUUGCUGCCCUCUUCUCUUUCUUUAAGGGUUGCAUUGCAAGCCUAACGCAAGAACUGCGGUGGUUAGCAAACUGCGCUUACUUCCACCAGGUAUUGUGUUCGAAUCCCAGCCCCAGCGCACAAUUUUUUAUAUGUUUUUUCACCUUAUUAUGUGGUUCUAUGUACAUACAGCUCUGCCACGUACGGAGGUNNNNNNNNNNNNNNNNNNNNNNNNNNNNNNNNNNNNNNNNNNNNNNNNNNNNNNNNNNNNNNNNNNNNNNNNNNNNNNNNNNNNNNNNNNNNNNNNNNNNNNNNNNNNNNNNNNNNNNNNNNNNNNNNNNNNNNNNNNNNNNNNNNNNNNNNNNNNNNNNNNNNNNNNNNNNNNNNNNNNNNNNNNNNNNNNNNNNNNNNNNNNNNNNNNNNNNNNNNNNNNNNNNNNNNNNNNNNNNNNNNNNNNNNNNNNNNNNNNNNNNNNNNNNNNNNNNNNNNNNNNNNNNNNNNNNNNNNNNNNNNNNNNNCUAUCGAAGCAUGGCUCAAGUAAGAAAUAAUCAUAAAGGACAUCACACAAUGCUCAUAUAUACGUACAUCAUAACAUGUCUACGUAUUGUCUAUAUACAAAAAAGAUCUUACUCAUCACAACAGCUAUAUACAACAUGUAUAGGCAGAAAUCAAUGCUUGUAUGGAUGGUGAGCACUGAAAUCACGACGCUCAUAUAUACAUUGUAACAUCACUACGUAUCAUGUAUAUACAAAAACAAAUCAUAUUCAUCACAUCUCCUAUAUAUAUACAUCAUACCAUCACAUCAUCUAUACAUCUACGUACCAUCUAUGAAUGCAUCUCACCAUCUAUAUAGAAAACAAAACGACGGUGCUGCGCCGACUUAGUCCGCGUCAGCGUGAGCUGCAUCUCCUCCCCGUCACUGUCCAUGCGAAAGCUGUGGUCCUUAUCCCCAAGGUCCAUGGCGUCCAAGCGGUGGCGACGGCGAGGCAGUGAGCAGCUGGAGGGUUGGCGGCGGCGGCGACUAGCGAUCCUUGAGGAGGCAAGGAGAUGAGGAGAUGGGUAGGAUAUCAAUCUCCGUCCUAAAUAUGGAACACGAUCGAUCACGUAAUUAUUAUUUACCUAAGGAGAAAGAGAGAGAUAUGAGAUUCCUUCUAUCAUUCCAUCUAGAGAUGAUUUUUUGAGCGAAAAUCAUUCCAUCUACGUGCGUGUGUGUGAGCAAGUCAUGUAUCUCGAUCGUCGGCUACAUAGAAUGAUUUUCCUCUCAAGUCACAGCCACUCAAUGUGAAUCAUCUUAUAUCCUUGAAAGCUCUCUUGUACAGAAUCCAGGCAAAGCUUUGUUCUGCUGAACAUGCAAUUCUGAAAAUUGUUACACCGAGACAUUGCUCUUGGUGAGUUCACACGGCCAGAAUUCUGAAAUCCUCACACGAGCCGCGUUUUAUGCAGUAUUUUUUUAAUUUAUUUGUUGAAUUUUGUCUCCUAAUAUUUGGUUUCAUUCAGGGAAACUUGUGAAGGAGCAGCUGCAUAAAGGCUUGGAAUGUGUUGUAUCACACCACCACAAAAGCAAACAAAUAUAAGACGUUUUAGGUAGCAAGUGUUCAAUGCGGAAAUCCAUUUUGGGUCUAGGGAGCACAUGCUCCUGCAUGCCAAAAAUGGAUUUUACAAAUGUCAAUUUUUUUUAAAAAAAUGGAUGUUUUUAAUUCAUUGUCCCGUCCGAAUGGCACAUGAAAAUUGUUACACCGAUACAUUGCUCUUGGUGAUUUCACACGGCCAGUGUUCUGAAAUCCUUGCGGAUUAUAUGCAGUAUUUUUUAAUUUAUUUGUUGAAUUUUCUCUCCUGAUAUAUUUGGUUUCAUUCAGGAAAACUUGUGAAAGACAGCUGCAUAAAAGGCUUGGAACGUGUUGUAUCACACCACCACAGAGCACAUGCUCCUGCAUGCCAAAAAUGGAUUUUACAAAUAUCAUUUUAAAAAAAUGGAUGCUUUUAAUUUAUUGUCCUGUUCGAAUGGUACAUGCAAAUUUUCAGAGGGAAAACUUAAGCAUUUUGACCCGUGAAAAGGAAACAAGCCGAAGACCGAUGAAGCACUGUUAUCCCAUAUGACAUGAAAAUUGUCGAGCACACUUAGCUACGCUAAUAUGAACAUCUACAAAAAAAGUCAGAAUCUUUUAAAUUUAUUUACUACUGUAUUUAUUUUGAUUUUGCUCUGUUGCACAAACAUGUUGAAUUCUGAGUACAGGUCAGAAGUGCAGAGAUACUGCAGAAAAUCGAGCCGUUGCCACUCUCACUUCCUUUAUUCCCGUCAGACGGCGGAGCCGAGCAUGUCCCGCGCCUUUCUUCGCCGGCGCCGGCGCCGGCGGCUGCUCCUCCGCCCCUCGCUCCACACCGUCUUUCUCCGCCUCCAUGGCGCCCUGGCGAACCGCACCGCCCCCGCCCGCCGCGACCUCCACAGCGCCGAUGACCAGGCACGCGCGGUGCUCGACGAGAGGCCGCACCGGGACGCCGUCGCCUACGCAGCCACGGCCCACCUCCCGCCAGCGGAGGCGCUCUUCCGCCCGGCGCCCGCGUCCGCCCGCGGCCCCCAUCUGGACGCCAUGAUGCUCGACGGGUACGUAAAGGCCGGCCACGUCGACCGCGCCCGCAGGCUGUUCGACGGAAUGGCGGUCAAGAGCGUGGCGGCGUGGACCUGCCUGGUCUCCGGGUACUGCCGCGCCGGGCGCGUCGACGAGGCGCGCGCUCUGUUCGACGCGAUGCCGGCCCGCAGCGUCGUCUCGUGGACGGCCAUGGCGCAGGGGUACGCGCGCAGCGGGAUGCUGAGGGGGGCGAGGGAGCUGUUCGACCAGAUGCCGGAGAGGAACGUGGUCACCUGGACGGUCAUGGUGAAGGCCUACGCCGACCACGGCCACUUCCAGGAGGCCGUGGAGCUGUUCGACAGGAUGCCCCAGAGGAACCCGUAUUCUUGGAGCGCCAUGAUCUCCGGUUUCCUCCGUGCUGGGAAAGUGGAUGAGGCGGUUCGGCUGUUCGAGAGGAUGCCGGAUAGGAAUGUGGUUUCUUGGACCACGAUGGUCACUGGCUUGGCGCAGAACGGUCGCGUUUCGAUGGCAAGAGAGUUCUUCGACAGAAUGCCGAGAAACAAGGACAUUGCGGCGUGGAAUGCGAUGGUCACUGCUUAUGCCAGUGAUGGCCAGAUGAACGAGGCUCAGAGAUUGUUUGAUUCGAUGCCCGCAAAGAACCUGGUGAGCUGGAAUGCCCUGAUCCAUGGCUAUGCCAAGGACGAGCGUAAGGAUGAAAUCAUUGGUUUAUUUCUUCUCAUGCUCCGGUCAGCAGUAUCUCCUGACAUCACCACAUUGAUCAGUGUCUUGGUUACAGCCAAUAGCACAAUUGAAGUUGGGCAAAUCCAUGGCUUCGCUACCACACGAGGUCUCCUGUCAGACACCUCCUUAGGAAACGCUCUGCUCACCAUGUACUCAAGGAGUGGCGACCUGCGCUCUGCCUGGCAAGCUUUCAAGAUGUUACAAGAGAAGGAUGCCAUCACAUGGACAUCGAUGAUGCAAGCCUUCGCCAACCAUGGCUGUGCCUCCUACGCGCUGCAGGCCUUUGCUCAGAUGCUGCGACAUGGAUAUAAGCCCAGCUCAACCACCUUCACCGCAGUGCUGUCAGCCUGCAGCCAUGCCGGUCUUGUCGACAAAGGCCGGGCAAUCUUCGCAUCAGUUCACCGCUACGGGCUCGAGCCAACAAUCGAGCACCACACCUGCCUUGUUGACAUCCUCGGCCGUGCAGGGCAUGUGAGGGAAGCAAUGAAGAUCGUUGCCGCCAUGCCAUUGGAUACACGUGACGAUGCUGUCCUGAGGACGCUGCUGGGGGCCUGCAUGAUGCAUAAUGAGGUGGAUGCAGCAAGGGAAGUGGGGGAGGCUCUUGCCAAGUCUGACGGCCCCUCUGGUUCAGAUUCAGAUGGCUACUACAAGGUUCUGGCCAAUGUGUUUGGGUCAGGUGGGAGGUGGGAGGAGAUGGCAGGUGUGUGGAAGGCUAUGAAGGGGAGCAAGGUGAGGAGGACGCCCGGGGUUAGCCAGAUAGUGGUGGAUGCGAGGACCCACAUGUUCUUUUCCAGGGAUCAGGGGCAUCCACAGUGUGCAGAGAUAUAUGAGAUGCUGGACGACGCGCUUGUCCC